UGGUAGAUGACAAGAUUUCCC
Molecule: non-coding RNA, 21 nt
Filed under: Arabidopsis thaliana (thale cress)
Lineage: Eukaryota; Viridiplantae; Streptophyta; Magnoliopsida; Brassicales; Brassicaceae
Source: RNAcentral